CCUACGGGAGACAGCAGUCGGGAAUAUUGCACAAUGGAGGAAACUCUGAUGCAGUGACGCCGCGUGCAGGAAGAAGGUUUUCGGAUUGUAAACUGCUUUAGAUGGGGAAGAAAAAAGACUGUACCCAUAGAAUAAGCUCCGGCUAACUACGUGCCAGCAGCCGCGGUAAUACGUAGGGAGCAAGCGUUAUCCGGAUUUACUGGGUGUAAAGGGAGCGUAGACGGCAGCGCAAGUCUGAAGUGAAAUGCCGGGGCUUAACCCCGGAACUGCUUUGGAAACUGUGCAGCUAGAGGGCAGGAGAGGUA
RNAcentral lists this ribosomal RNA (305 nucleotides) under uncultured bacterium. RNAcentral describes it as "bacterial SSU rRNA". It matches the Rfam family "Bacterial small subunit ribosomal RNA", at positions 338 to 659 of the family's 1533-position model. The record is from RNAcentral.